GACGAACGCUGGCGGCGUGCUUAACACAUGCAAGUCGAACGGAAAGGCCUCUUUCGGGGGGUACUCGAGUGGCGAACGGGUGAGUAACACGUGAGUAACCUGCCCUUGACUUUGGGAUAACUUCAGGAAACUGGGGCUAAUACCGGCUAGGAGCUCCUGCUGCCUGGUGGGGGUUGGAAAGUUUCGGCGGUUGGGGAUGGACUCGCGGCUUAUCAGCUUGUUGGUGGGGUAGUGGCUUACCAAGGCUUUGACGGGUAGCCGGCCUGAGAGAGUGACCGGCCACACUGGGACUUAGAUACGGCCCAGACUCCUACGCGAGGCAGCAGUGGGGAAGAUUGAACGAUGGGUGCAAGCCUGAUGCAGCAACGCCGUGUGCGGGAUAACGGUCUUCGUGUGGUAAACCGCUUGCGCACGUGACGAAGCUCGGUGUGACGGUAGUGGGUAAAGAAGCACCGGCUAACUACGUG
This 467-nucleotide ribosomal RNA is filed under the name uncultured bacterium. RNAcentral's name for it is "partial 16S ribosomal RNA". It matches the Rfam family "Bacterial small subunit ribosomal RNA", at positions 28 to 507 of the family's 1533-position model. The record is from RNAcentral.